GGCAGCUAUACAUGCAGUCGAGCGAACUGAUUAGAAGCUUGCUUCUAUGACGUUAGCGGCGGACGGGUGAGUAACACGUGGGCAACCUGCCUGUAAGACUGGGAUAACUCCGGGAAACCGGAGCUAAUACCGGAUAACAUUUUCUCUUGCAUAAGAGAAAAUUGAAAGAUGGUUUCGGCUAUCACUUACAGAUGGGCCCGCGGUGCAUUAGCUAGUUGGUGAGGUAACGGCUCACCAAGGCAACGAUGCAUAGCCGACCUGAGAGGGUGAUCGGCCACACUGGGACUGAGACACGGCCCAGACUCCUACGGGAGGCAGCAGUAGGGAAUCUUCCGCAAUGGACGAAAGUCUGACGGAGCAACGCCGCGUGAGUGAUGAAGGCUUUCGGGUCGUAAAACUCUGUUGUUAGGGAAGAACAAGUACAAGAGUAACUGCUUGUACCUUGACGGUACCUAACCAGAAAGCCACGGCUAACUACGUGCCAGCAGCCGCGGUAAUACGUAGGUGGCAAGCGUUAUCCGGAAUUAUUGGGCGUAAAGCGCGCGCAGGCGGU
RNAcentral lists this ribosomal RNA (553 nucleotides) under Priestia flexa. Its description in RNAcentral is "bacterial SSU rRNA". It matches the Rfam family "Bacterial small subunit ribosomal RNA", at positions 45 to 579 of the family's 1533-position model. The record is from RNAcentral. Lineage: Bacteria; Bacillati; Bacillota; Bacilli; Caryophanales; Bacillaceae.